UGAUGUACACCUAAUACCGCCACUACCUG
RNAcentral lists this small RNA (29 nucleotides) under Bombyx mori (domestic silkworm). RNAcentral describes it as "ovarian small RNA-8374". The record is from RNAcentral. Lineage: Eukaryota; Metazoa; Arthropoda; Insecta; Lepidoptera; Bombycidae.